GGAAGGCAAUCUGGCUGCAACAUCUGUCACCACAUUGAUUACCAGGGUUGAUUCAGCUGAUCUGGCUGGCUAAGCGGGUGUCCCCUUCCUCCCUCACAGCUCCAUGUGCACCUCUCGGGAAGUUGCAUGCUCUGUUGAAGAGGACGACCUCCCCCAAUAGAGGAGGACCAGUCCAAACAAGGUCUCAAGGUCUAUUUAUUGUGUCUUGCUAUGCCGUGUUCGGCUGACAGCCCUGG
Molecule: small RNA, 236 nt
Filed under: Peromyscus maniculatus bairdii (prairie deer mouse)
Lineage: Eukaryota; Metazoa; Chordata; Mammalia; Rodentia; Cricetidae
Description: 7SK RNA (ENSPEMG00000003605.2)
Rfam family: 7SK RNA (bases 1-182)
About the family: 7SK was discovered as an abundant small nuclear RNA in the mid-70s but a possible function has only recently been suggested. Two independent studies have found that 7SK RNA binds the CDK9/cyclin T complex (known as elongation factor P-TEFb).
Source: RNAcentral